UCAUUCUAACAACGAACAUUUUUUUAAAGGGAAUAUAAGUAAGGGGGAAAGAAACCAAUUUUUUGUUCUUUACAUGUAUUCCCGCUGUUAUAAAUUUACAUCGGAGCACUCUCACUAUUGAUAAAUAGGUUUCAUGCUAAAACAAAUAUUCUCAGAUAUUUACACAGUGUGGUGGGGUGCUUUUAUGUUUAAAAUCGUUAUAUACAGGUUAGACUGUGAUUUUAAAA
RNAcentral lists this long non-coding RNA (227 nucleotides) under Mytilus galloprovincialis (Mediterranean mussel). Lineage: Eukaryota; Metazoa; Mollusca; Bivalvia; Mytilida; Mytilidae. The record is from RNAcentral.